UACGGGAGGCAGCAGUGAGGAAUAUUGGUCAAUGGGCGAGAGCCUGAACCAGCCAAGUAGCGUGCAGGACGACGGCCCUAUGGGUUGUAAACUGCUUUUGCGGGAGGAUAAAGUGCGCCACGCGUGGCGCUUUGCAGGUAUCCCGUGAAUAAGGACCGGCUAAUUCCGUGCCAGCAGCCGCGGUAAU
Molecule: ribosomal RNA, 187 nt
Filed under: uncultured rumen bacterium
Lineage: Bacteria
Description: partial 16S ribosomal RNA
Rfam family: Bacterial small subunit ribosomal RNA
Source: RNAcentral